GUUACCUGGGGUUGUUAUAUAUACUGUUGCCAAAAUUUUCUCUAUAUGGGAAUUGUACCCAUAAGUUCCUAACAUGUCCUUGCUCAGGGUGACAAGCAUCCAAGAUGGCAGGCUGUGUGUGCCACAGAGCACACCAGAAGAAAAGAGCACAACCCUCAGCAUCUCAUUUUAGGGCCUUCACUGCUUUUUUAGCCCCCUGGUAUGACUUGGUAUGAAGCACUAGAAAUUCAGGUGACCAAGGAGGAAGCUACUAAUUUAAAUGAAUAGCUUUGUCAAAAAGAGCCCCCUGAAGAGCUCAGAGGGAGAUAAUGGCUGCCCUGUUUGGAGGCUGGAGUCUGUAGCUGUUUACUGCCUCCAGGGCCAAGCAUUGCUAUAGCAACAAAUGACUUGGCAACAGCUUUGAACAGACUGCUUCUUUGAAAGAGUUUAGAUAAUAGGGAUUACUCAGGUUCUUUCUGAAAGGGAUAACAUAAGGACUUUUUUUAUCCCCUCUUCUCAAACAUAAGGACAUUUGAAAGAAUAAUCCUUUUUCAAAAACUGUACAAUAGAGAGGGAAGGGCUAGAAGGCUUUGCACUCAAAUGUUAGCAGUUAAGUUUCCUAAAUAGAGAUUACAGGGGUUUUUUUUGUUUUGUUUUGUUUGUGGGUUUUUUGGACACUAUUCUGAGUCUUCUAUGAUGCGCAUUUGGUUUUUGUUGUUUUGUUUUUUCUUUUUAUUUAAACUAGUGUUCCCAUUCACUUCUAAAUAACAUUAAUGUAUUUUUUUAAUUUUAUUUUUUAGUUAUACUUGGCCACAAUACCUUUAUUUUAUUUAUAUAUUUUUAUGUGGUGCUAAGGAUCGAACCCAGGGCCUCACACAUGCUAGACGAAUGCUCUACCACUGAGCCACAACAAUGUAUUUUAUUCAUCCUUCUUUCCCAUUUUACUAACUCAAAAUAUAUUUGUGAAAUUAAAAUUAAAUAUUUAGAUUUCUUUAUUAAAUUUAUUUUUAAUCUAGUAAUGAAAAUGUAAAAAGAUAUACAUUAUAG
This 1026-nucleotide long non-coding RNA is filed under the name Marmota monax (woodchuck). Lineage: Eukaryota; Metazoa; Chordata; Mammalia; Rodentia; Sciuridae. The record is from RNAcentral.